GGGUAUGAGAUCAACACGGACCGCUGCCAGGGUAGAGGAAGCACAAAGUUCAUCAGGAGUUAGAGGCUCAUGUCCGUGUCCCCCUCCAGUUCCCGUUCCCCACGAGCCCUGUGCAGUCACAUCCAGUGGAGCAUUAAGCACCCACAUUUAUCUCCCCGCUCCCUCUAGCUCUUUGGCGGCAGCCUCCCACUGACUACCCAAGGCACAGCCCUCCCACCAUAUGGCCCAGGGCUCACAUUCCAAGGGAAGCCCACCUGAUUUUGCUUCAGACUCUUCCCCCCCCAGGAGCAAUCCGAGCUGCAGUGUGCUGAGAGAGAGGCCCAGAGCCCCUCCCCAGGCCCCAGACCCCCUACCAGGAGAGCUUUAGAAGGUUCUGGUCCUCUUCAACCUUCCCUUCUUCCUGGGAAUCUUCUCUCCGCCCACUCCAGGGAAACCUGGGUUGGCUAGGAGAGGGGAUGGGGGCUGGACAGGAGGAAGGUGACAAGGAUCACAGAUGGCCUGGAUGUUUGACCAGGUCCUGGGGAGAGAAGACUGCUUGGAUAUGCAGCACCAAACCCAGAGCUCCAGAAUUGAAGUUCUGGAAUGAGGUGCUUUGCAGCCAGACCUUUGGACCUUUGGAGCCUGUGGUCAGCCCCAGGGAGGCCUCCAGAUGUUCUCAGACCAUCCGAGCCCCAAUCCGCUUGCUUAGACAGCUCUUGCUGCCCAGGGGUGGGAAGGAACCCCGGAGUCCGACCACCCCCAGAGCUCGCUUGCUUCCCACUGCCCCAGGGAUCUAGGUGACCUUCCUUUACGUCUCCUCUCCUGUCUUUCUGAGUAGAGGCUGCAUAUUUCUCAAUGGGGAAGUAAAGGUGUGAAACAGA
Molecule: long non-coding RNA, 860 nt
Organism: Suricata suricatta (meerkat)
Lineage: Eukaryota; Metazoa; Chordata; Mammalia; Carnivora; Herpestidae
Exons: 2
Source: RefSeq, a predicted model, not a curated record